GACGAACGCUGGCGGCAUGCUUAACACAUGCCAGUCGAACGGGAAGUGGUGUUUUCCGUGGCGAACGGGGGUGUAACGCGGAAGAACCUGCCCUUGGGAGGGGAACAACAACUGUAAACGGUUGCUAAUACCCCGGAGGCUGAGGAGGAAAAGGAGAAAUUCGCCAAAGGAGGGGCUCGCGUCUGAUUAGCUAGGUGGUGAGGUGAUAGCUUACCAAGGCGAUGACCAGUAGCGGGUCCGAGAGGAUGAUCAGCCACACUGGGACGGAGACACGGCGCAGGCUCCUACGGGAGGCAGCGGGGGGGAAUGUUCCGCAAUGGGCGGCAGCCUGACGGAGCAACGCGGCGUGGAGGUCGAAGGGCUACGGGUCGUCAACUUCUUUUUUCGGAGAAGAGACAAUGACGGUAACUGAGAAAUAAGCAUCGGCUAACUCUGUG
Molecule: ribosomal RNA, 437 nt
Filed under: uncultured bacterium
Lineage: Bacteria
Description: partial 16S ribosomal RNA
Rfam family: Bacterial small subunit ribosomal RNA
Source: RNAcentral